Molecule: non-coding RNA, 73 nt
Organism: Stegodyphus mimosarum
Lineage: Eukaryota; Metazoa; Arthropoda; Arachnida; Araneae; Eresidae
Source: Rfam
GCCUUCAUGGUGUAGUGGUCAGCACACUCGAUGCGAAUUCGAGAGGUCCGUGGUUCGAGUCCCGGCGAGGGCA